This 864-nucleotide long non-coding RNA is filed under the name Homo sapiens (human). Its description in RNAcentral is "HSALNT0203610". The record is from RNAcentral. Lineage: Eukaryota; Metazoa; Chordata; Mammalia; Primates; Hominidae.
ACCACAAAAUAUUUUUAUUGUAAAUCAAAUAAGAAAAAAUGAAAACAAAUUUUGAGUACUGAACAAGAUGGACACCUAAGUGAUCGUCCUGUUGCUGGAAAGAUAGAGGAAACAAAGGCAGCAUUUUAAAUGCAUUCAUCUAAAAAUUUAAUGCAGAUCAGCCACCAUGAUUUAUGCCUGUAAUCCCAGCACUUUGGGGGGCCAAAGAGGGAGGAUCACUUGAGAUCCAGGAGUUUGAGACCAGCCUGGACAACACAGUGAGACUCCAUGUCUACAAAAACUUAAAAAAUUAGCCAGGCAUGGUGGUGCAUGCUUGUAGUCCCAGAGACAGGAGGCUGAGUUGGGAGGAUCACUUGAGCCUGGGAGGUUGAGGCUGCAGUGAGCUGUGAUCAUGCUAUUGCACUGUAGGCUGGGUGACAGAGUGAAAUCCUGCAGGAGAAUUGCUUGAACUCGGGAGGUGGAGGUUGCCGUAAGCCGAGAUCAUGCCACUACACUUCAGCCUGGUGACUCCAUCUCAAAAUAAAUAAUAAAUAAAUAAAUAAAGGAUAUAAGUCUCAUGAUAUAUUGAACAUCUGUUGUCAAAGUCAAAUAAAUUGAAGUUAAAUAUUUUGCCAUGCUGUGGUUCUGACGAUGAAAGCUAUAAAUAAUUUGUAAUCUAGGAGGAAGUAGGCCAGAGAUCACAUCAAAUGUUCUAUGAGGUGGUUAGGUUUGAGCUAGACAUUGAAGAAGGGGUUUUAUUGAAUAAUCAUUGAUGAAGUCACCAAGCCAAGGGCAUUUGCCUUAGCGGAUUCAUGGGAAUAUAAAUAUUCCUGUCAGGUUCAAUUACUUUUUAGCAGAAGCUUUAUGAGUCUAUCUAUCUAUCUA